This 419-nucleotide ribosomal RNA is filed under the name uncultured bacterium. RNAcentral's name for it is "bacterial SSU rRNA". It matches the Rfam family "Bacterial small subunit ribosomal RNA", at positions 8 to 429 of the family's 1533-position model. The record is from RNAcentral.
AGAGUUUGAUCCUGGCUCAGGACGAACGCUGGCGGCGUGCUUAACACAUGCAAGUCGAACGGAAAGGCCCUUUCGGGGGUGCUCGAGUGGCGAACGGGUGAGUAACACGUGGGUGAUCUGCCCUGCACUUCGGGAUAAGCCUGGGAAACUGGGUCUAAUACCGGAUAGGACUACGAAUCGCAUGGUUUGCGGUGGAAAGCUUUUGCGGUGUGGGAUGGGCCCGCGGCCUAUCAGCUUGUUGGUGGGGUGAUGGCCUACCAAGGCGACGACGGGUAGCCGGCCUGAGAGGGUGUCCGGCCACACUGGGACUGAGAUACGGCCCAGACUCCUACGGGAGGCAGCAGUGGGGAAUAUUGCACAAUGGGCGCAAGCCUGAUGCAGCGACGCCGCGUGAGGGAUGACGGCCUUCGGGUUGUAAA